Non-coding RNA from Populus trichocarpa (black cottonwood), 67 nucleotides. The record is from Rfam. Lineage: Eukaryota; Viridiplantae; Streptophyta; Magnoliopsida; Malpighiales; Salicaceae.
GAGAGCUGCGUGAUAGGAGACUAUCCAGCACGGUUCGGAGAGCAAUUUAUUUAUUUUUUAUUUCAGU